CUUUACUGCAACUUGGCAGUGAUUUUCGGGAUGUUCUGCGUAGGAUAGGUGGGAGGCUAUGAGGCCGGGCUUCUGGGUUCGGCGGAGCCAACGUUGAAAUACCACCCUGAAUAUUCUGGAAAUCUAACCUGGACCCAUGAGCUGGGUCGGGGACACUGCCUGGCGGGCAGUUUGACUGGGGCGGUCGCCUCCCAAAAAGUAACGGAGGCGUGCGAAGGUCCCCUCAGCCUGAUUGGAAACCAGGCGUAGAGUGCAAUCGCAUAAGGGGGCUUAACUGUGAGACCGACAGGUCGAACAGGUGCGAAAGCAGGCGAUAGUGAUCCGGUGGUUCUGCAUGGAAGGGCCAUCGCUUAUCGGAUAAAAGGUA
RNAcentral lists this ribosomal RNA (367 nucleotides) under uncultured organism. RNAcentral describes it as "bacterial LSU rRNA". It matches the Rfam family "Bacterial large subunit ribosomal RNA", at positions 2099 to 2465 of the family's 2925-position model. The record is from RNAcentral.